GACGAACGCUGGCGGCGUGCUUAACACAUGCAAGUCGAACGGAAAGGCCCCUUUGGGGGUACUCGAGUGGCGACCGGGUGCGUAACACGUGAGUAACCUGCCCUUGACUUCGGGAUAACUUCAGGAAACUGGGGCUAAUACCGGAUAGGAAUCAUUGCUGCAUGGUGGGGGUUGGAAAGCUUCGGCGGUUUUGGAUGGACGCGCGGCUUAUCAGCUUGUUGGUGGGGUAGUGGCUUACCAACGCUUUGACGGGUAGCCGGCCUGAGAGGGCGACCGGCCACAUUGGGACUUAGAUACGGCCCAGACUCCGACGGGAGGCAGCAGGGGGGAAUAUUGCACAAUGGGCGGAAGCCUGAUGCAGCAACGCCGCGGGCGGGAUGACGGCCUUCGUGUUGUAAACCGCUUUCAGCAGGGGCGAAGCUUGUGGUGACGGUACCUGCAGAAGAAGCACCGGCUAACUACGUG
This 465-nucleotide ribosomal RNA is filed under the name uncultured bacterium. Its description in RNAcentral is "partial 16S ribosomal RNA". It matches the Rfam family "Bacterial small subunit ribosomal RNA", at positions 28 to 507 of the family's 1533-position model. The record is from RNAcentral.